This 253-nucleotide ribosomal RNA is filed under the name uncultured bacterium. Its description in RNAcentral is "partial 16S ribosomal RNA". It matches the Rfam family "Bacterial small subunit ribosomal RNA", at positions 524 to 776 of the family's 1533-position model. The record is from RNAcentral.
UACGUAGGCAGCGAGCGUUGUUCGGAAUUAUUGGGCGUAAAGAGUGUGUAGGCGGUGCUCCAAGUCUGUUGUGAAAUCUCACGGCUUAACUGUGAGCGUGCGGGCGAUACGGGCAGACUAGAGUACUGCAGGGGAGACUGGAAUUCCUGGUGUAGCGGUGGAAUGCGCAGAUAUCAGGAGGAACACCGGUGGCGAAGGCGGGUCUCUGGGCAGUAACUGACGCUGAGGAGCGAAAGCGUGGGGAGCGAACAGG